CUAUUUUGAUUUUUUGUCAUGUUUGGCAAACGUGCAAAUCGUGAUCUGUCGAAGAGGAAGGGAACAGUAUUUAUGUUCCUUGAGUUUAGUGAGCCCUAAGCAUUGGAGAAAAAGAUAAUUCUACAAGUCAGGAAAAAUGAACACCAAACUACAAAUGUUAUUGCUAACUGCUGUAUUCCUAGCUUGCUUAGUGGGCCGAGCUGAAUGUUUUUGGGAUUGCAAGCCAUUUUGUGUUGGACGCAAAAGAUUCUUUGGGAAGCUGUCCAGAGGAAAAAGUGAUAAACCACAUGAAACAGAAAACCGUCGAAUCGCUUUAGAGGACGCAGAUUUUGUACGCGUUCGUCCCCUGUAAUGUCGUGAAAGGAAAAUGAUGAGGAUAAGUUGAAGCAGGGAAGCUUAACAGUGCUGUCUCUGAGAAUCUAAUUUAACCUAGGCAGUGGAAAAAAAUAACAAUUGUAAAUACUGCAUUUAAUGUUAAAAAACCA
Molecule: long non-coding RNA, 485 nt
Organism: Pocillopora damicornis (cauliflower coral)
Lineage: Eukaryota; Metazoa; Cnidaria; Anthozoa; Scleractinia; Pocilloporidae
Source: RefSeq, a predicted model, not a curated record